UACGUAGGGCGCAAGCGUUGUCCGGAAUUAUUGGGCGUAAAGAGCUCGUAGGCGGCCAGUCGCGUCUGCUGUGAAAUCCCGGGGCUUAACCCCGGGCCUGCAGUGGAUACGGGCUGGCUAGAGGCAGGCAGGGGAGAACGGAAUUCCCGGUGUAGCGGUGAAAUGCGCAGAUAUCGGGAGGAACACCGGUGGCGAAGGUGGUUCUCUGGGCCUGUACUGACGCUGAGGAGCGAAAGCGUGGGGAGCAAACAGG
Molecule: ribosomal RNA, 253 nt
Filed under: uncultured bacterium
Lineage: Bacteria
Description: partial 16S ribosomal RNA
Rfam family: Bacterial small subunit ribosomal RNA
Source: RNAcentral